This 1385-nucleotide ribosomal RNA is filed under the name Lactiplantibacillus plantarum. RNAcentral's name for it is "bacterial SSU rRNA". It matches the Rfam family "Bacterial small subunit ribosomal RNA", at positions 71 to 1432 of the family's 1533-position model. Lineage: Bacteria; Bacillati; Bacillota; Bacilli; Lactobacillales; Lactobacillaceae. The record is from RNAcentral.
GAUUGGUGCUUGCAUCAUGAUUUACAUUUGAGUGAGUGGCGAACUGGUGAGUAACACGUGGGAAACCUGCCCAGAAGCGGGGGAUAACACCUGGAAACAGAUGCUAAUACCGCAUAACAACUUGGACCGCAUGGUCCGAGUUUGAAAGAUGGCUUCGGCUAUCACUUUUGGAUGGUCCCGCGGCGUAUUAGCUAGAUGGUGGGGUAACGGCUCACCAUGGCAAUGAUACGUAGCCGACCUGAGAGGGUAAUCGGCCACAUUGGGACUGAGACACGGCCCAAACUCCUACGGGAGGCAGCAGUAGGGAAUCUUCCACAAUGGACGAAAGUCUGAUGGAGCAACGCCGCGUGAGUGAAGAAGGGUUUCGGCUCGUAAAACUCUGUUGUUAAAGAAGAACAUAUCUGAGAGUAACUGUUCAGGUAUUGACGGUAUUUAACCAGAAAGCCACGGCUAACUACGUGCCAGCAGCCGCGGUAAUACGUAGGUGGCAAGCGUUGUCCGGAUUUAUUGGGCGUAAAGCGAGCGCAGGCGGUUUUUUAAGUCUGAUGUGAAAGCCUUCGGCUCAACCGAAGAAGUGCAUCGGAAACUGGGAAACUUGAGUGCAGAAGAGGACAGUGGAACUCCAUGUGUAGCGGUGAAAUGCGUAGAUAUAUGGAAGAACACCAGUGGCGAAGGCGGCUGUCUGGUCUGUAACUGACGCUGAGGCUCGAAAGUAUGGGUAGCAAACAGGAUUAGAUACCCUGGUAGUCCAUACCGUAAACGAUGAAUGCUAAGUGUUGGAGGGUUUCCGCCCUUCAGUGCUGCAGCUAACGCAUUAAGCAUUCCGCCUGGGGAGUACGGCCGCAAGGCUGAAACUCAAAGGAAUUGACGGGGGCCCGCACAAGCGGUGGAGCAUGUGGUUUAAUUCGAAGCUACGCGAAGAACCUUACCAGGUCUUGACAUACUAUGCAAAUCUAAGAGAUUAGACGUUCCCUUCGGGGACAUGGAUACAGGUGGUGCAUGGUUGUCGUCAGCUCGUGUCGUGAGAUGUUGGGUUAAGUCCCGCAACGAGCGCAACCCUUAUUAUCAGUUGCCAGCAUUAAGUUGGGCACUCUGGUGAGACUGCCGGUGACAAACCGGAGGAAGGUGGGGAUGACGUCAAAUCAUCAUGCCCCUUAUGACCUGGGCUACACACGUGCUACAAUGGAUGGUACAACGAGUUGCGAACUCGCGAGAGUAAGCUAAUCUCUUAAAGCCAUUCUCAGUUCGGAUUGUAGGCUGCAACUCGCCUACAUGAAGUCGGAAUCGCUAGUAAUCGCGGAUCAGCAUGCCGCGGUGAAUACGUUCCCGGGCCUUGUACACACCGCCCGUCACACCAUGAGAGUUUGUAACACCCAAAGUCGGUG